AGUCGCCAGAAGAGGGAUCCGCGGCCGAUUAGCCUGUUGGCGAGGUAAUGGCUCACCAAGGCUUUGAUCGGUAUCCGGACUGAGAGGUUGGCCGGACACACUGGAACUGAGACACGGUCCAGACUCCUACGGGAGGCAGCAGUGGGGAAUCUUGCACAAUGGACGAAAGUCUGAUGCAGCAACGCCGCGUGGGGGAUGAAGCUUCUCGGAGUGUAAACCCCUUUCGACCUGGACGAAUGCCCGCAAGGGUUUGACGGUACAGGUAUAAGAAGCCCCGGCUAACUACGUGCCAGCAGCCGCGGUAAUACGUAGGGGGCCAGCGUUGCUCGGAAUUACUGGGCGUAAAGGGUCCGUAGGCGGUGUGAUAAGUCGAUAGUGAAAUCUCUGGGCUUAACCCAGAGGCUGCUAACGAAACUGCCAUGCUAGAGUGUGAGAGAGGCGAGUGGAAUUACGGGUGUAGCGGUGAAAUGCGUAGAUAUCCGUAGGAACAUCCGAGGCGAAAGCGGCUCGCUGGAUCACAACUGACGCUGAGGGACGAAAGCUAGGGGAGCAAACAGGAUUAGAUACCCUGGUAGUCCUAGCCCUAAACCAUCAUGACUUGGGGUUUGCCCUGUACGGGGCAAGUCCCGUAGCUAACGCGUUAAGUCAUGCGCCUGGGGAGUACGGUCGCAAGGCUGAAACUCAAAGG
This 688-nucleotide ribosomal RNA is filed under the name uncultured bacterium. Its description in RNAcentral is "bacterial SSU rRNA". It matches the Rfam family "Bacterial small subunit ribosomal RNA", at positions 213 to 907 of the family's 1533-position model. The record is from RNAcentral.